UACAGAGGUCCCAAGCGUUGUUCGGAUUCACUGGGCGUAAAGGGCGCGUAGGCGGUCGGGUAAGUCUGACGUGAAAUCUCCAAGCUCAACUUGGAAAUGGCGUCGGAUACUAUUCGGCUCGAGGAGUGGAGGGGAGACUGGAAUUCUCGGUGUAGCAGUGAAAUGCGCAGAUAUCGGGAGGAACACCGGUGGCGAAGGCGGUUCUCUGGGCCUGACCUGACGCUGAGGAGCGAAAGCGUGGGGAGCGAACAGG
RNAcentral lists this ribosomal RNA (253 nucleotides) under uncultured bacterium. Its description in RNAcentral is "partial 16S ribosomal RNA". It matches the Rfam family "Bacterial small subunit ribosomal RNA", at positions 524 to 776 of the family's 1533-position model. The record is from RNAcentral.